This 496-nucleotide ribosomal RNA is filed under the name uncultured bacterium. RNAcentral describes it as "partial 16S ribosomal RNA". It matches the Rfam family "Bacterial small subunit ribosomal RNA", at positions 29 to 507 of the family's 1533-position model. The record is from RNAcentral.
AUGCACGCUGGCGGCGUGCCUCAUACAUGCAAGUCGAGCGAACGGACGAGAAGCUUGCUUCUCUGAUGUUAGCGGCGGACGGGUGAGUAACACGUGGAUAACCUACCUAUAAGACUGGGAUAACUUCGGGAAACCGGAGCUAAUACCGGAUAAUAUUUUGAACCGCAUGGUUCAAAAGUGAAAGACGGUCUUGCUGUCACUUAUAGAUGGAUCCGCGCUGCAUUAGCUAGUUGGUAAGGUAACGGCUUACCAAGGCAACGAUGCAUAGCCGACCUGAGAGGGUGAUCGGCCACACUGGAACUGAGACACGGUCCAGACUCCUACGGGAGGCAGCAGUGGGGAAUCUUCCGCAAUGGGCGAAAGCCUGACGGAGCAACGCCGCGUGAGUGAUGAAGGUCUUCGGAUCGUAAAACUCUGUUAUUAGGGAAGAACAUAUGUGUAAGUAACUGUGCACAUCUUGACGGUACCUAAUCAGAAAGCCACGGCUAACUACGUG